AAUGUAACAAGGUUUCCGUAGGUGAACCUGCGGAAGGAUCAUUACCGAGUGAGGGCCCUCUGGGUCCAACCUCCCACCCGUGUCUAUCGUACCUUGUUGCUUCGGCGGGCCCGCCGUUUCGACGGCCGCCGGGGAGGCCUCGCGCCCCCGGGCCCGCGCCCGCCGAAGACCCCAACAUGAACGCUGUUCUGAAAGUAUGCAGUCUGAGUUGAUUAUCAUAAUCAGUUAAAACUUUCAACAACGGAUCUCUUGGUUCCGGCAUCGAUGAAGAACGCAGCGAAAUGCGAUAAGUAAUGUGAAUUGCAGAAUUCAGUGAAUCAUCGAGUCUUUGAACGCACAUUGCGCCCCCUGGUAUUCCGGGGGGCAUGCCUGUCCGAGCGUCAUUGCUGCCCUCAAGCACGGCUUGUGUGUUGGGCCCCGUCCCCUCCCCCGGGGACGGGCCCGAAAGGCAGCGGCGGCACCGCGUCCGAUCCUCGAGCGUAUGGGGCUUUGUCACCCGCUCUGUAGGCCCGGCCGGCGCCAGCCGACACCCAACUUUUAUUUCUAAGGUUGACCUCGGAUCAGGUAGGGAUACCCGCUGAACUUAAGCAUAUCU
This 595-nucleotide ribosomal RNA is filed under the name Aspergillus fumigatiaffinis. RNAcentral describes it as "eukaryotic LSU rRNA". The stretch from base 230 to 383 matches the Rfam family "5.8S ribosomal RNA". Lineage: Eukaryota; Fungi; Ascomycota; Eurotiomycetes; Eurotiales; Aspergillaceae. The record is from RNAcentral.